CUUCCUCCCAAUUUGCUGUCGUUCUAAUUUAUUUCCAUCCUUUGAGGGAUAACGGCUAACGGUGAUCUGCCACCACGAUCUCAAUGUAUCUCCCGCCCCCUUUCUCCGGACUAAAUUGAAAACAGCUGUCAAACACUCCACACAGCGCAAUGCAGUCAGACUCCCUUUCUUGCAAAAACCUUUGCUGGUCAUACUCCGUCUCCACUCCACCCACUACCCAUUUAACAAAAAUCCUCAAAGAACUUAGCUUUCACUCAGACUCACAACUUCUCACUAUCCAGUCAUCGAAAUUGAGUUCCGACUUGGUGCCAGUGG
This 315-nucleotide unclassified non-coding RNA is filed under the name Hevea brasiliensis (rubber tree). Lineage: Eukaryota; Viridiplantae; Streptophyta; Magnoliopsida; Malpighiales; Euphorbiaceae. The record is from RNAcentral.